UUGACCUCAAUCAGGUAGGAUUACCCGCUGAACUUAAGCAU
Molecule: ribosomal RNA, 41 nt
Filed under: Inonotus porrectus
Lineage: Eukaryota; Fungi; Basidiomycota; Agaricomycetes; Hymenochaetales; Hymenochaetaceae
Description: partial 28S ribosomal RNA
Source: RNAcentral